This 73-nucleotide transfer RNA is filed under the name Pseudomonadota bacterium. RNAcentral's name for it is "tRNA-Lys". It matches the Rfam family "tRNA". Rfam says of the family: Transfer RNA (tRNA) molecules are approximately 80 nucleotides in length. Their secondary structure includes four short double-helical elements and three loops (D, anti-codon, and T loops). The record is from RNAcentral. RNAcentral also lists the same sequence under 4 other names. Lineage: Bacteria; Pseudomonadati; Pseudomonadota.
GAGAUGCUAGCUCAGCCGGUAGAGCACCUCCCUUUUAAGGAGGGGGCCACAGGUUCGAUCCCUGUGCAUCUCA